GAAACGACUGCUAAGACUGGAUAGGAGAUAGGAAGGCAUCUUCUUAUUUUUAAAAGACCUAGUAAUAGGUAUGCUUAAAGAGGAGCUUGCGUCACAUUAGUUAGUUGGUAGGGUAAAAGCCUACCAAGACUAUGAUGUGUAGCCGGGCUGAGAGGUCAAACGGCCACAUUGGGACUGAGACACGGCCCAAACUCCUACGGGAGGCAGCAGUAAGGAAUUUUCGGCAAUGGAGGAAACUCUGACCGAGCAACGCCGCGUGAACGAUGAAGUAUUUCGGUACGUAAAGUUCUUUUAUUAGGGAAGAAAAGAUGGUGGAAAAACCAUUAUGACGGUACCUAAUGAAUAAGCCCCGGCUAACUAUGUGCCAGCAGCCGCGGUAAUACAUAGGGGGCAAGCGUUAUCCGGAAUUAUUGGGCGUAAAGGGUGCGUAGGCGGUUAAAUAAGUUUAUGGUCUAAGUGCAAUGCUCAACGUUGUGAUGCUAUAAAAACUGUUUAGCUAGAGUUGGAUAGAGGCAAGUGGAAUUCCAUGUGUAGUGGUAAAAUGCGUAAAUAUAUGGAGGAACACCAGGAGCGAAGGCGGCUUGCUGGGUCUUAACUGACGCUGAGGCACGAAAGCGUGGGGAGCAAACAGGAUUAGAUACCCUGGUAGUCCACGCCCUAAACGAUGAGUACUAAACGUUGGGUAAAACCAGUGUUGAAGUUAACACAUUAAGUACUCCGCCUGAGUAGUACGUACGCAAGUAUGAAACUUAAAGGAAUUGACGGGACUCCGCACAAGCGGUGGAUCAUGUUGUUUAAUUCGAAGGUACCCGAAAAACCUCACCAGGUCUUGACAUGCUUUUGCAAAGCUGUAGAAAUACAGUGGAGGUUAUCAAUUGCACAGGUGGUGCAUGGUUGUCGUCAGCUCGUGUCGUGAGAUGUUGGGUUAAGUCCCGCAACGAGCGCAACCCUUGUUGUUAAUUGCCAGCAUGUAAUGAUGGGGACUUUAGCAAGACUGCCAGUGAUAAAUUGGAGGAAGGUGGGGACGACGUCAAAUCAUCAUGCCCCUUAUGACCUGGGCUACAAACGUGAUACAAUGGCUGUUACAAAGGGUAGCUAAAGCGCAAGCUUCUGGCGAAUCUCAAAAAAGCAGUCUCAGUUCGGAUUGAAGUCUGCAACUCGACUUCAUGAAGUUGGAA
Molecule: ribosomal RNA, 1178 nt
Filed under: Candidatus Phytoplasma fragariae
Lineage: Bacteria; Bacillati; Mycoplasmatota; Mollicutes; Acholeplasmatales; Acholeplasmataceae
Description: bacterial SSU rRNA
Rfam family: Bacterial small subunit ribosomal RNA
Source: RNAcentral